UACGAAGGGGGCGAGCGUUGUUCGGAAUCACUGGGCGUAAAGCGUGCGUAGGCGGUCAUGAAAGUUAGGAGUGAAAGCCCAGGGCUCAACCCUGGAAUUGCUCUUAAAACUACAUGGCUCGAAUUCGGGAGAGGAUAGCGGAAUUGUCAGUGUAGCAGUGAAAUGCGUAGAUAUUGACAGGAACACCAGUGGCGUAAGCGGCUAUCUGGACCGACAUUGACGCUGAGGCACGAAAGCGUGGGGAUCAAACAGG
Molecule: ribosomal RNA, 253 nt
Filed under: uncultured bacterium
Lineage: Bacteria
Description: partial 16S ribosomal RNA
Rfam family: Bacterial small subunit ribosomal RNA
Source: RNAcentral